Octodon degus (degu) is the source of this 495-nucleotide long non-coding RNA. RefSeq lists it as uncharacterized. The transcript has 3 exons. The record is from RefSeq and is a predicted model, not a curated record. NCBI's taxonomy places the organism in Eukaryota, Metazoa, Chordata, Mammalia, Rodentia, Octodontidae.
GUGGGUUCUGUCCCGGAGGUUCCAGCGCGCUGGGAGGGGAAUUACAACCGCGUGCAGCUUGGGUAGUUUCAUGUCACGUGGUUCCUCCGCAGACAGACCUCUCUUAGCUACCCAGGCCAGCCCCUGGGAGCCCAGCAUGAAACUGUGAUAAGUUUUAGGCACAUGCUCAGCUGAACUGUGUAAAAACAUGACCCUGGUUCUGAGCCACAAACAUGGCCCCAAACACCUGCCCAAUAUGCUGGUGCCUGCAAAGGACACCUACAAGACCAUUGGUGAUCCACACAGCUGCUGAGGAAGUGAAUGGAAGGAAGGGAUAGGGCUGUUCAGAAGGUGUGCUAUCUGGUCUAGCUGUCACUUGUGGACAUUGAUAUUUUAGACCCAUGAGUGUCCCUAUGGCUCCUUAUUACAUCCGCAAAUACCAGGAGAGUGACCGAAAACCAGUCGUGGAUUUGUUCUUCAAGGGCAUGGUGGAGCACAUCCCUACCACAUUCCGCC